Molecule: transfer RNA, 77 nt
Filed under: Rhodospirillaceae bacterium
Lineage: Bacteria; Pseudomonadati; Pseudomonadota; Alphaproteobacteria; Rhodospirillales; Rhodospirillaceae
Also listed under: 2 other names
Description: tRNA-Arg
Rfam family: tRNA
About the family: Transfer RNA (tRNA) molecules are approximately 80 nucleotides in length. Their secondary structure includes four short double-helical elements and three loops (D, anti-codon, and T loops).
Source: RNAcentral
GGCCCCUUAGAUCAAUUGGAUAGAUCGUCUGACUUCGAAUCAGAAGGUUGGGAGUUCGAGUCUCUCAGGGGCCGCCA